This 468-nucleotide ribosomal RNA is filed under the name uncultured bacterium. RNAcentral's name for it is "partial 16S ribosomal RNA". It matches the Rfam family "Bacterial small subunit ribosomal RNA", at positions 28 to 507 of the family's 1533-position model. The record is from RNAcentral.
GACGAACGCUGGCGGCGUGCUUAACACAUGCAAGUCGAACGGAGAGGCCCUGCUUUUGUGGGGUUCUCGAGUGGCGAACGGGUGAGUAACACGUGAGUAACCUGCCCUUGACUUUGGGAUAACUUCAGGAAACUGGGGCUCAUACCGGACAGGAGCUCCUGCUGCAUGGUGGGGGUUGGAAAGUUUCGGCGGUUUGGGAUGGACUGGCGGCUUAUCAGCUUGAUGGUGGGGUAGUGGCUGACCAAGGCUUUGACGGGUAGCCGGCCUGAGAGGGUGGCCGGCGACAUUGCGACUGAGAGACGGCCCAGACGGGAACGGGAGGCAACAGUGGGAAGUAUUGCACAGUGAGCGGGAGCCUGAGACGGAGACGCCGCGUGCGGGAUGACGGCUUUCGGGUUGUGAACCGCUUUCGCCUGUGACGAAGCGUGAGUGACGGUAAUGGGUAAAGAAGCACCGGCUAACUACGUG